UACGUAGGUGGCAAGCGUUGUCCGGAUUUAUUGGGCUUAAAGGGUGCGUAGGCGGCUUUGUAAGUCAGUGGUGAAAUAUGGCAGCUCAACUGUCAGGGUGCCAUUGAUACUGCAGAGCUUGAGUACAGAUGAGGUAGGCGGAAUUGACGGUGUAGCGGUGAAAUGCUUAGAUAUCGUCAAGAACACCUGUAGCGAAGGCAGCUUACUAGGCUGUAACUGACGCUGAGGCACGAAAGUGUGGGGAUCAAACAGG
RNAcentral lists this ribosomal RNA (253 nucleotides) under uncultured bacterium. Its description in RNAcentral is "partial 16S ribosomal RNA". It matches the Rfam family "Bacterial small subunit ribosomal RNA", at positions 524 to 776 of the family's 1533-position model. The record is from RNAcentral.